This 467-nucleotide ribosomal RNA is filed under the name uncultured bacterium. Its description in RNAcentral is "partial 16S ribosomal RNA". It matches the Rfam family "Bacterial small subunit ribosomal RNA", at positions 28 to 506 of the family's 1533-position model. The record is from RNAcentral.
GACGAACGCUGGCGGCGUGCUUAACACAUGCAAGUCGAACGGAAAGGCCCUGCUUUUGUGGGGUGCUCGAGUGGCGAACGGGUGAGUAACACGUGAGUAACCUGCCCUUGACUUUGGGAUAACUUCAGGAAACUGGGGCUAAUACCGGAUAGGAGCUCCUGCUGCAUGGUGGGGGUUGGAAAGUUUCGGCGGUUGGGGAUGGACUCGCGGCUUAUCAGCUUGUUGGUGGGGUAGUGGCUUACCAAGGCUUUGACGGGUAGCCGGCCUGAGAGGGUGACCGGCCACAUUGGGACUGGGAUACGGCCCAGACUCCUACGGGAGGCAGCAGUGGGGAAUAUUGCACAAUGGGCGGAAGCCUGAUGCAGCAACGCCGCGUGCGGGAUGACGGCCUUCGGGUUGGAAACCGCUUUCGCCUGUGACGAAGCGUGAGUGACGGUAAUGGGUAAAGAAGCACCGGCUAACUACGG